This 440-nucleotide ribosomal RNA is filed under the name uncultured bacterium. RNAcentral describes it as "partial 16S ribosomal RNA". It matches the Rfam family "Bacterial small subunit ribosomal RNA", at positions 338 to 795 of the family's 1533-position model. The record is from RNAcentral.
CCUACGGGUGGCAGCAGUGGGGAAUAUUGCACAAUGGGGGAAACCCUGAUGCAGCGACGCCGCGUGAGUGAAGGAGUAAUUCGUUAUGUAAAGCUCUAUCAGCAGGGAAGAAAAUGACGGUUCCUGAUUAAGAAGCACCGGCUAACUACGUGCCAGCAGCCGCCGUACUACGUAGGGGGCAAGCGUUAUCCGGUUUUAAUGGGUGUAAAGGGAGCGUGGACGGCAGUGCAAGUCUGGAGUGAAAGGCGGGGGCUCAACCUCCGGACUGCUCUGGAAACUGGACGGCUGGAGUGCAGGAGAGGUAAGUGGAAUUCCUAGUGUAGCGGUGAAAUGCGUAGAUAUUAGGAGGAACACCAGUGGCGAAGGCGGCUAACUGGACUGUAACUGACGUUGAGGCGCGAAAGCGUGGGGAGCAAACAGGAUUAGAUACCCCAGUAGUC